GGCAGGCUCGGCCCAGUUGGAGACUUAGUGACUGGGCAGCCCACUCAGAACGCCAGACACACCACUGUACAGCGAUCACUGCACGGCCACAGCACCUUUAGAGCAUUGCUGCACGCUAGGAAUGUUGCCUGGCCAGCCCCACUGGCCAUGAUGUGGUUCAUGCAUCGCUGACGCUUCAGGUUUGCCCUCAGGGCGGGUGACAAGUGGACGCAGUUAUUAAUGCUGCGUUUAGUCGUCUAGUGCUGUGUGUCAGUUCUUUCGGCCAUGCCGGUGUGGCCACGCUGGACAGCGCUGUGUGCACUCUAACCGCGCCAUGUGGUGCUAGACUGCGCUUCAGUGCACACACGCCCCUGGCGCUCCGAGAGCAGCAGUACUGCAGUAGUGUAAGGCCCUUUGGCAGCCCGGUUCCGCCUCACCCUGUCCUAGUCGGCACCUCGAACGCAACCGUACAGCAAGCCAUGAAGGCUAUAGGACAUAACUGCAGUUUCACGUUUGGUUUGGGCUCAAGAAUGGGCCAUAUCCGGUUGCUUCCAUCGUUUGCGGAAGCUGACAGCCCGUCGUUCUACCUCAUGCGCUCAACGUUAAGCGCCGUGCCCUGGUCGCCAGUAUGCCUGCCCGUCGUGUAGGUUGUAUGCGUGCUCGUGUUGCAGCAGCCUCCACAGCAGGAGUGCAUCGGGUUGACAGCGACUGGAUGCUUGCGCACCCCACGUUUCUCGAGUUCGAUCGUUUUCGUUAUCUUCAUCGUCGAUCCAACGUCCUGCUGAAGGCCAUCACUUCUCAUCAUGCCGUGGAGCUCGAUGUUGGCCCUUGUGUCUGUGUGCACCUGCGGAUUGGCUCAAGUCGACCGUGUGUUUCAUUUCAACCAGCCUCUGCUGUCUAAAUGUUUGUCUUUGGUGGAACACCUUGCCUUAUGUGGCUAGCUGUCUGCAGUCCCAUAUGUAGUCAUGUCUUGGCAUUGGAUGGAGUUGCAUUUGCCUGAGCAUGCCACUGUUGUGACGUAAGCAGUGUUGCAAGGGAACCUCGUGCUUGCGACUGUAAUGGCACAGAGGAUAUUGCAGCUUUGACAGACCGG
This 1072-nucleotide long non-coding RNA is filed under the name Volvox carteri. RNAcentral's name for it is "long non-coding RNA (VCAR_LNC001433)". Lineage: Eukaryota; Viridiplantae; Chlorophyta; Chlorophyceae; Chlamydomonadales; Volvocaceae. The record is from RNAcentral.